This 197-nucleotide ribosomal RNA is filed under the name uncultured Pseudoalteromonas sp. RNAcentral describes it as "partial 16S ribosomal RNA". It matches the Rfam family "Bacterial small subunit ribosomal RNA", at positions 338 to 524 of the family's 1533-position model. Lineage: Bacteria; Pseudomonadati; Pseudomonadota; Gammaproteobacteria; Alteromonadales; Pseudoalteromonadaceae. The record is from RNAcentral.
CCUACGGGAGGCAGCAGUGGGGAAUAUUGCACAAUGGGGGAAACCCUGAUGCAGCCAUGCCGCGUGUGUGAAGAAGGCCUUCGGGUUGUAAAGCACUUUCAGUGGUGAGGAAGGAUGUAAGAUUAAUACUCUUGCAUAUUGACGUUAGCCACAGAAAGUGAAGCACCGGCUAACUCCGUGCCAGCAGCCGCGGUAAU